Molecule: non-coding RNA, 70 nt
Organism: Podarcis lilfordi (Lilford's wall lizard)
Lineage: Eukaryota; Metazoa; Chordata; Lepidosauria; Squamata; Lacertidae
Source: the annotation of a GenBank genome assembly
GUCAUAGCUCAGUGGUAGAGCACCUGCUCUUCAUGCAGAUAGGUCUCUGGCUCAAUCCCAAGCAUCUGCA